AUUGAACGCUGGCGGCAGGCCUAACACAUGCAAGUCGAGCGGUAGAGAGAAGCUUGCUUCUCUUGAGAGCGGCGGACGGGUGAGUAAUGCCUAGGAAUCUGCCUGGUAGUGGGGGAUAACGUUCGGAAACGGACGCUAAUACCGCAUACGUCCUACGGGAGAAAGCAGGGGACCUUCGGGCCUUGCGCUAUCAGAUGGGCCUAGGUCGGAUUAGCUAGUUGGCGGGGUAAUGGCUCACCAAGGCGACGAUCCGUAACUGGUCUGAGAGGAUGAUCAGUCACACUGGAACUGAGACACGGUCCAGACUCCUACGGGAGGCAGCAGUGGGGAAUAUUGGACAAUGGGCGAAAGCCUGAUCCAGCCAUGCCGCGUGUGUGAAGAAGGUCUUCGGAUUGUAAAGCACUUUAAGUUGGGAGGAAGGGCAGUAAAUUAAUACUUUGCUGUUUUGACGUUACCGACAGAAUAAGCACCGGCUAACUCUGUG
This 484-nucleotide ribosomal RNA is filed under the name uncultured bacterium. Its description in RNAcentral is "partial 16S ribosomal RNA". It matches the Rfam family "Bacterial small subunit ribosomal RNA", at positions 30 to 507 of the family's 1533-position model. The record is from RNAcentral.